GACGAACCGUGCGAACGUUAUUCGGAAUCACUGGGCUUAAAGGGCGCGUAGGCGGGCGGUCAAGUCAGAGGUGAAAUCCCACGGCUCAACCGUGGAAGUGCCCCUGAUACUGGCUGUCUGGAGGGAGGUAGGGGCGUGCGGAACUUCCGGUGGAGCGGUGAAAUGCGUAGAUAUCGGAAGGAACACCAGUGGCGAAGGCGAGUCCCUGGACAACUCCUGACGCUGAGGCACGAAAGCUAGGGGAGCAAACAGG
Molecule: ribosomal RNA, 253 nt
Filed under: uncultured bacterium
Lineage: Bacteria
Description: partial 16S ribosomal RNA
Rfam family: Bacterial small subunit ribosomal RNA
Source: RNAcentral